Long non-coding RNA from Labrus mixtus (cuckoo wrasse), 528 nucleotides. RefSeq lists it as uncharacterized. NCBI's taxonomy places the organism in Eukaryota, Metazoa, Chordata, Actinopteri, Labriformes, Labridae. The transcript is spliced from 3 exons. The record is from RefSeq and is a predicted model, not a curated record.
UGCCUCAUCCUAUUCUACCCCAUGGAUAGUUAUGACUGUUUCAUUGAUUCUGUUGUUGCUGGUUGGACUUCUCCAUUUCGGCAAAUAUAUUCGGAACAAAGUCACUGUUGAGGCCCGUCGAGUGGCAGCAGAUGCACCAAGCGACCAAGUGAUGUAUGCUGCGAUUACAAUAGACAGGACAAAGAGAGAGCAAGGAGUAUCCAGAGUAAUGACGGCGACAGUUCACUCAGCUGGUACCAACCGACCUUUGACACAGGAACCCCUCUAUUCUUUGAUCAAGUAGGUAAGACUCAGGACAUUACUGACAUUCAUAUCUGGUAGGAUGGACAGCAGAGGUUAGAACAUGACCCAUAUUUACAGCUUUCAAACGUUUAUGUCACUGGACGUUGAUGUUCAACCAAAGCACCACUUAAGGCAGCAUUUCCUACAUGCUUCGGUUCAAACUUUAGCUGUCAUGCUUCUCAGAAUGCUACGACCCGUGUUUUUUUAUAUCAAUGUGGUAUGCUCAGAGCUGUUAACCCUUUCUGU